AGCAGCCGCGGUAAUUCCAGCUCCAAUAGCGUAUAUUAAAGUUGUUGCAGUUAAAAAGCUCGUAGUUGAAUUUCGGGAUCAAUAUGUUGGUCGUGCCAUUGGUACGUACUGGCAUUAUUGGUUUCUACCUUCUGAAGAACCUCGAUGUCAUUAAUUUGGUGUCUUGGGAAAUCAGGACUGUUACUUUGAAAAAAUUAGAGUGUUUAAAGCAAGCUCGCGCUUGAAUACAUUAGCAUGGAAUAAUGAAAUAGGACGUUUGAUUCUAUUUUGUUGGUUUCUAGGAUCGACGUAAUGAUUAAUAGGGAUAGUUGGGGGCAUUAGUAUUCAAUUGUCAGAGGUGAAAUUCUUGGAUUUAUUGAAGACUAACUACUGCGAAAGCAUUUGCCAAGGAUGUUUUCAUUAAUCAAGAACGAAAGUUAGGGGAUCGAAGACGAUCAGAUACCGUCGUAGUCUUAACCAUAAACUAUGCCGACUAGGGAUCGGAUGAUGUUAAUUUUUUAAUGACUCAUUCGGCGCCUUACG
RNAcentral lists this ribosomal RNA (522 nucleotides) under uncultured Glomeraceae. Its description in RNAcentral is "SSU rRNA". It matches the Rfam family "Eukaryotic small subunit ribosomal RNA", at positions 569 to 1092 of the family's 1831-position model. Lineage: Eukaryota; Fungi; Glomeromycota; Glomeromycetes; Glomerales; Glomeraceae. The record is from RNAcentral.